This 657-nucleotide ribosomal RNA is filed under the name uncultured fungus. RNAcentral's name for it is "eukaryotic LSU rRNA". It matches the Rfam family "Eukaryotic large subunit ribosomal RNA", at positions 24 to 664 of the family's 3401-position model. Lineage: Eukaryota; Fungi. The record is from RNAcentral.
CCCGCUGAACUUAAGCAUAUCAAUAAGCGGAGGAAAAGAAACUAACAAGGAUUCCCCUAGUAACUGCGAGUGAAGCGGGAAAAGCUCAAAUUUAAAAUCUGGCGGUCUUUGGCCGUCCGAGUUGUAAUCUAGAGAAGUAAUGCCCGUGCUGGACCGUGUAUAAGUCUCCUGGGAUGGGGCGUCAUAGAGGGUGAGAAUCCCGUCUUUGACACGGACUACCAGUGCAUUGUGGUAUGCUCUCAAAGAGUCGAGUUGUUUGGGAAUGCAGCUCAAAAUGGGUGGUAAAUUCCAUCUAAAGCUAAAUAUUGGCGAGAGACCGAUAGCGAACAAGUACCGUGAGGGAAAGAUGAAAAGAACUUUGGAAAGAGAGUUAAACAGUACGUGAAAUUGCUGAAAGGGAAACGCUUGAAGUCAGUCGCGUUGGCCAGGGAUCAGCCUUGCUUUUGCAUGGUGUACUUUCUGGUUGACGGGUCAGCAUCAAUUUUGACCGCUGGAAAAGGGCCUGGGGAAUGUGGCAGCUUCGGCUGUGUUAUAGCCCCUGGUCACAUACGGCGGUUGGGAUUGAGGAACUCAGCACGCCGCAAGGCCGGGUUUCGACCACGUUCGUGCUUAGGAUGCUGUGCAUAAUGGCUUUAAGCGACCCGUCUUGAAACACGG